AUGAGCGACGACGUGAUAUGGCACUGCAUCCGCCACAACCACUGCAGCUUCAUGGCCAAGAUCGAGACGGGGAUAUUCUGCCGGAACCCCUACAACGCCACCGGCAUAUGCAACCGGAGCUCCUGCCCGCUCGCCAACAGCCGCUACGCCACCAUCCGGGACCACGACGGUGUAUUCUACUUAUACAUGAAAACUGCUGAAAGGGCUCAUCUGCCAAAAAAAUUAUGGGAGAGAGUCAAACUACCCAGGAACUAUGAGAAGGCAAUGGAAAUCAUCAACAAGCAUCUUGAAUUUUGGCCCAAGCUACUUGUGCACAAGAUCAAACAGCGUCUGACAAAAAUGACUCAGUAUCGGAUAAGAAUGAGGAGACUCCAACUUAAAGUGAGAGAGAAGAUAAUGACAGUUCCCAGGAAGAAAACUCAGCGUGAUCUCCGAAGAUUGGAGAAAGCUGAAAAGGCUGCUCAACUAGAUAAGAGUAUUGAAAGUGAGCUAAAGGAACGUCUGAGGAAAGGUGUUUAUGGUGAAAUAUAUAAUUUCCCCUUCAAGCAGUUUGAUACCAUCCUUGACAUGGAAAAGGAUGAGUUGGCUACUGAGAUAGAAGAGGAAAAAGAAGGUGAGAUAGAGUAUGUUGAAGGCGAUGAUAUCGAGAUGGGUGACAUGGACGAUAUGGAAGAUUUUGAAGGUUUUGGUGAUGAAGAUGAUGAUGGAGAUGAAGAUGAUGAUUUGGAUGAGCCAGCAACAAAGAAGCCCAAGCUACCAGGCUCCGAUUCAAGGUCAAAGAUUGGGCGGAAGUCUACGAAGGUUAUCACAGAGGUGGAAGAAGACGAGGACAGGGGUAGCAGGCAAAGGACGCGAAUGUGA
RNAcentral lists this ribosomal RNA (861 nucleotides) under Triticum aestivum (bread wheat). Its description in RNAcentral is "partial small subunit ribosomal RNA". Lineage: Eukaryota; Viridiplantae; Streptophyta; Magnoliopsida; Poales; Poaceae. The record is from RNAcentral.